UAGUCCCCGCCGUAAACGAUGGUCACUAGUUGUUGGGGCGUUUGCCUCAGUGAUUAAGCGAAAGUGAUAAGUGACCCACCUGGGGAGUACGAUCGCAAGAUUGAAACUCAAAGGAAUUGACGGGGGCCCGCACAAGCGGUGGAGCAUGUGGUUUAAUUCGAUGAUACGCGAGGAACCUUACCAGGGCUUAAAUGUAAGUUGCAUAGACCAGAGAUGGUCUUUUCUUCGGACUACUUACAAGGUGCUGCAUGGUUGUCGUCAGCUCGUGCCGUGAGGUGUCAGGUUAAGUCCUAUAACGAGCGCAACCCCUACCGUUAGUUGCCAGCAUGUUAUGAUGGGGACUCUAACGGGACUGCCAGUGCAAACUGUGAGGAAGGUGGGGAUGACGUCAAAUCAUCACGGCCCUUACGUCCUGGGGCUACACACGUGCUACAAUGGGUAUAUACAGAGGGGCAGCUACCUAGUGAUAGGAUGCGAAUC
RNAcentral lists this ribosomal RNA (480 nucleotides) under uncultured bacterium. RNAcentral describes it as "bacterial SSU rRNA". It matches the Rfam family "Bacterial small subunit ribosomal RNA", at positions 791 to 1273 of the family's 1533-position model. The record is from RNAcentral.